Neoarius graeffei (lesser salmon catfish) is the source of this 3146-nucleotide long non-coding RNA. RefSeq lists it as uncharacterized. The record is from RefSeq and is a predicted model, not a curated record. NCBI's taxonomy places the organism in Eukaryota, Metazoa, Chordata, Actinopteri, Siluriformes, Ariidae. The transcript has 3 exons.
ACCACUAGAGGAACUCAAUGUCUGCAGCUCUCUGACUCCAUUUUACAUAAGCACGUGAGUGCCAAGAACCUGCACAUCACCUGAGAAGUUUUCACGCCAUUGCAAGCAAAAUCCAGUCAUAGUUGGAAAAAUGGACAUGGAAGGGGAGAAAGAGCAGAACUCCAGUCUUCAGGAAAGACGGAAUGAAUCAUUCCUGGAGAGGGUGAAAGAAGACGAAGACAUGUUUAGACACAGAAUUGAAAGUCUCCCGGGGAAACGGCCAAAUUUGAAAAAAGAAAACAGCGAUUCUGGUGGCUUGAAGGAUGCCGAGACUCCGACACACCAGGACAUUUUAGUGGAAAUUAAUGGAUAAAUGUUGAUUUUUCCCUUUUUUUUUUUGUUUUACCUCAAGUGUCAUGCUGUAUAUAAUCAGCUUGUUUAUAUACGGUACACUACCGUUCAAAAGUUUGGGGUCACUUUGAAAUUUCCUUAUUUUUGAAAGAAAAGCACUGUUCUUUUCAAUGAAGAUCACUUUAAACUAAUCAGAAAUACACUCUAUACAUUGCUAAUGUGGUAAAUGACUAUUCUAGCUGCAAAUGUCUGGUUUUUGGUGCAAUAUCUCCAUAGGUGUAUAGAGGCCCAUUUCCAGCAACUCUCACUCCAGUGUUCUAAUGGUACAAUGUGUUUGCUCAUUGCCUCAGAAGGCUAAUGGAUGAUUAGAAAACCCUUGUACAAUCAUGUUAGCACAGCUGAAAACAGUUGAGCUCUUUAGAGAAGCUAUAAAACUGACCUUCCUUUGAGCAGAUUGAGUUUCUGGAGCAUCACAUUUGUGGGGUCGAUUAAAUGCUCAAAAUGGCCAGAAAAAUGUCUUGACUAUAUUUUCUAUUCAUGUUACAACUUAUGGUGGUAAAUAAAAGUGUGACUUUUCAUGGAAAACACAAAAUUGUCUGGGUGACCCCAAACUUUUGAACGGUAGUGUACCUUCUAAAACUGCUUUGGAUGGUGUAGUGGUUAGUACUGUCACCUCACAGCAAGAAGGUUCCGGGUUCGAACCUCACAGCCGAUGGGGGCCUUUCUGUGUGGGGUUUGCAUGUUCUCCUCAUGUCUACGUGGGUUUCCUCCGGGUGCUCCAGUUUCCCCCACAGUCCAAAGACAUGCAGGUUAGAUCAAUGGAUGGGCUCUGCCAAGUUUAAAAUGCCAUAGACUGUUAAUAGACUGUUAAAAAUGUCAUCAGUGGUGCCCUUGCUGGCUAUAGGGAAAAGAAGAAGGAAACUGCUUUAUCUAAUCAUAUUCUUGAACUUUCUCCUGAGCACCUGGUCUAACUCAGUCUUCCUUUUUUGGCUUUGGGUCUAAGCUAUUACCAUCUUCGGCUCUCAUCACUAUAAUUUCAUCACAAGUAAGCUUUGGUAAGCAACAUGUUUUUGUUUUCUCAUCUCAUUAUCUCUAGCCACUUUAUCCUUCUACAGGGUCGCAGGCAAGCUGGAGCCUAUCCCAGCUGACUACGGGCGAAAGGCGGGGUACACCCUGGACAAGUCGCCAGGUCAUUACAGGGCUGACACAUAGACACAGACAACCAUUCACACUCACAUUCACACCUACGGUCAAUUUGGAGUCACCAGUUAACCUAACCUGCAUGUCUUUGGACUGUGGGGGAAACCGGAGCACCCGGAGGAAACCCACGCGGACCCAGGGCUCGAACCCAGGACCUUCUUGCUGUGAGGCGACAGCACUAACCACUACACCACCGUGCCGCCCUGUUUUUGUUUUAUCAUUAUUAAAAUAACACCCUACUGACAGGUUCAGUACUUUUUAUGAUUACCAUUAGGGCUGUAACGAUAUGCGUAUCGAAAUUGAAAUCGCGAUACGCAGAGCCACGAUCCGUAUCGCGAUACAAGAAGGCAGAAUCGCGGUACACCCUUUCAAACUUCUCCUCAGCCCAAAAACAGAGGCGCUUCCAAACUUCAAUUUAUGAAUACUUUACUUUUUAUUUAAAUUACAUUUUAAACUUACUUAAAUUACUUUUUUUAUAUAUAUAUAUCUAUUAGUAAGUCGUUUUUUCGCCGACCUGCGACAAUCUUCUGCGAGUCACGCAACGUCCACACUCGCCACUGGCAGAGCAUUCAUUUCUUUUAAGCGGUCGCCAUUCUGGUUGCGACGCGGGGAGCGAAUCUGUAAACAAGCAGCUCAUUGGCUGGCUAGGUGUGCCACAAGCCAAUCACAAUCACUUGACCGGAAAGGCAUGCAGUGUUGCCAGAUUGGGCAGGUUUAGGUGCUUUUUGGCUGGUUUUGAACAUAUUUUGGGGUGAAAAACGUUAGCAGUAUCUGGCAACACUGAAGGCAUGUCUGCUUGGGCGGAAGCCUUCUGCGGCAGUUACAUUUUGACGCGCGAGCAAUGUUUCACCAUAAAAAUUCCGUAAUUUCCAUCUGUUUUCCGCGAUCACAGAAAAUCAUUGGCCCUAUGAGAGUGAGACAGUGAGAGAGCCGCCCCCCCCAAAAAAAAAAUCUUAACGGAUUUACACGAUUUGGAAAAAUGACUUUUUCAGAACCGAAAAAAACGGAGCUUCCGGUUCAACAGUAUUAUUUUGAGAAAUAAAACAAUCUUUGGAUAUACAUUUGUUCAUUUUUGCAUACAUAUUACUCAUUCUCUGCAGUGGUCUGAAUUAUUUGUUAUUAAAUAGUUAAUGUAAGUAAGUAAAUGUUAAUAAGUCAAAUUUACUACUUUAAAAAACAUUUUAAAAAAAUCGUGGGCGUAUCGAAUCGUGGGUCAAAAAUCGCGAUACGAAUCGAAUCGUGAGUUGGGUGUAUCGUUACAGCCCUAAUUACCAUGGUAAUAGACUUGUAGCAUUUCUAUUUCUCAUUAUAAUUCUUAUACAGAGAAAAAAAUAUAUAUACAUUUAUUCCACUACAAGGAUCACUCAGAGGUAUAACUUCUACCAUGUGUUUUACCUUUUGUUUUCCUACAAUUCGUUGUAUAUACAAUGUCAUUUUUCCAAACGAGUAAAAAACUAAUGAUUACUUUAAUGUAAAAAAAAAAAAUUAAAUGUUUGCUUUAUAUAUUCUACAGCUUAGCAUGUUAUGUUUAUCAGUGUUUAUCAUUUACUGUAACCUAUCUUGGGCUGCUAGUGGGGGUUUUUCCUCGCAUUUAUAAAUAAAAUGAUUUGAUUUCA